UCCCUGUUCAUAUUGGAAUGACUGAUGUUUCCUCAUGGCUGGUCCCAUGCUGCUGGAAUUACAUGGGACAGGCAGUUGAUACUUCCUGUGCCAGCUAUUUCUCCUUCCCUCCCAAUCCAAGUUGCCAAUACUGUUGUGUAAUAACCCUGUAACACUACUGGCUCCAGCUAAUUCUGGCUUUUGAGCACUACAAGCCUGAUGUGGGAUCCAGCCACCGGAAAGAGGCAAUACCACACAUCGUUCUAACGGUAGGCUUGAUUUGUUGAGCAGCGUGUGCCUGGCAAGUCACCCACACCACAGCUUUGCCACUGAGCCAGAGCUCAGCAGCAGCAGAACAGACCUCUUGCCUUACUAAAAGGGUCACGAGGCUCACCCACAGCAGGCAGUAGUGCAGGGCAGCUGCAUGCUCAGGUUGAGAGUCUGGGAUGGGUCUGUAUGCUUUGCUCAAGCAUGUUGUUCAGUACUGGGUGCAAAAUUGCCUGCAUGCUGAGAUCUCAGCUUCCACUUCAAAAAGAGACAGCAAGUUUCUAGUUUUAUGACUGUGGAAAGAAGACUAAAUGGGCAGUGUUUCGUUAAACGCCCCAAAGAUGGGGUUUGGGGAGGAAGAAAGUGGCUCAGGGAGAUUCCUAAUGAGUUUGUGGGAUCUGGGCCCUCCUCUUCAACAGCCAGCACAUAAUUAAUUUUGCAAAGUAAGCAUAUUUGCAAAUUUACUUUUCUCAGAGGUUCUUUUUUAUAUAAAAGGCAGAGUACAUAACAACCCUGGUAUUGUGAAGAUGCACAGGGCAAGCUGUUACAUGGUUAGAUGAACUGAUGUGCAAACAGCUGCAAAGUAAGAACAAUCAGCAGCAUGGAGGAUGCAAUAUAGAUAUCUAUCUUCUCUAUCUAUAUAUACAUGCAGGCAUGAGCUGCUGGACAGCUGACGCCAUCCAUUCGAGGCAGCAAAGGUGAUGAAGCAAGCUGCAAUGCCGAUGGAGCCCUGAAGGGCAAGUGCAUGUAAGCAGAUUCGCACACUCGGAACGCACACACUUAUAUAUAGCUUGGAAAGCGAUGCUCUGCAAGUGAAGUGUCCGUAUGCUGUGUCGGCAGCAGCGGUUGGAUGAGUGAAAUGGGCAAACUGCUACAUGGCAUUGCAGAGGAGGAAAGUGCACACCCCUGAGGGUGCCCAGGCAAGCUUUGGUGAGCUUCUCCAAGUAUCUCUCUGCCAGGGGGGGAUACCCACCC
Molecule: non-coding RNA, 1221 nt
Organism: Podarcis lilfordi (Lilford's wall lizard)
Lineage: Eukaryota; Metazoa; Chordata; Lepidosauria; Squamata; Lacertidae
Source: the annotation of a GenBank genome assembly